This 247-nucleotide non-coding RNA is filed under the name Clostridium argentinense. RNAcentral describes it as "T-box sequence". It matches the Rfam family "T-box leader". Rfam says of the family: Uncharged tRNA acts as the effector for transcription antitermination of genes in the T-box leader family. T-boxes are found upstream of many aminoacyl-tRNA synthetase genes and some amino acid biosynthetic genes usually in Gram-positive bacteria. Lineage: Bacteria; Bacillati; Bacillota; Clostridia; Eubacteriales; Clostridiaceae. The record is from RNAcentral.
UUAAAAGCAAUGAAGAGAAGAGUAGAUAUAAGAGGUAAUUUAAGCGAGUUGACGAUGGUGAGAGGUCAAUAUGAAACUUAUGUUGAAGAACAUCUUAGAGCUUCUAACCGAAAUUGUUAUGAAAGUAGGCUUAGACGGAAUUAAACCGUUAUAAAUUAAACAGUAUCGAUGAUAAUCUGUACUGUAAAGAGGUCAUUUUAUGACAAUUUGGGUGGUACCGCGGAAUAGCUAACCUUUCGUCCCUAUG